RNAcentral lists this ribosomal RNA (253 nucleotides) under uncultured bacterium. Its description in RNAcentral is "partial 16S ribosomal RNA". It matches the Rfam family "Bacterial small subunit ribosomal RNA", at positions 524 to 776 of the family's 1533-position model. The record is from RNAcentral.
UACGUAGGGUGCGAGCGUUGUCCGGAAUUACUGGGCGUAAAGCGUGCGCAGGCGGUUUUGUAAGCCAGAUGUGAAAUCCCCGGGCUUAACCUGGGAAUGGCAUUUGGGACUGCAAGGCUCGAGUGCGGCAGAGGAGACUGGAAUUCCUGGUGUAGCAGUGAGAUGCGUAGAUAUCAGGAGGAACACCGAUGGCGAAGGCAGGUCUCUGGGCUGACACUGACGCUCAUGCACGAAAGCGUGGGGAGCAAACAGG